CAGCAGCCGCGGGAAUACGUAGGGUGCAAGCGUUAAUCGGAAUUACUGGGCGUAAAGCGUGCGCAGGCGGUUAUAUAAGACAGAUGUGAAAUCCCCGGGCUCAACCUGGGAACUGCAUUUGUGACUGUAUAGCUAGAGUACGGCAGAGGGGGAUGGAAUUCCGCGUGUAGCAGUGAAAUGCGUAGAUAUGCGGAGGAACACCGAUGGCGAAGGCAAUCCCCUGGGCCUGUACUGACGCCCAUGCACGAAAGCGUGGGGAGCAAACAGGAUUAGAUACCCCAGUAGUCCCUGUCUCUUAUAC
RNAcentral lists this ribosomal RNA (301 nucleotides) under uncultured bacterium. RNAcentral describes it as "partial 16S ribosomal RNA". It matches the Rfam family "Bacterial small subunit ribosomal RNA", at positions 509 to 807 of the family's 1533-position model. The record is from RNAcentral.